RNAcentral lists this ribosomal RNA (517 nucleotides) under uncultured bacterium. Its description in RNAcentral is "bacterial SSU rRNA". It matches the Rfam family "Bacterial small subunit ribosomal RNA", at positions 31 to 507 of the family's 1533-position model. The record is from RNAcentral.
GAACGCUGGCAGCGUGCCUAAUACAUGCAAGUCGAACGCACUCUCGUUUAGAUUGAAGGAGCUUGCUCCUGAUUGAUAAACAUUUGAGUGAGUGGCGGACGGGUGAGUAACACGUGGGUAACCUGCCCUAAAGUGGGGGAUAACAUUUGGAAACAGAUGCUAAUACCGCAUAAAACCUAACACCGCAUGGUGUAGGGUUGAAAGAUGGUUUCGGCUAUCACUUUAGGAUGGACCCGCGGUGCAUUAGUUAGUUGGUGAGGUAAAGGCUCACCAAGACCGUGAUGCAUAGCCGACCCGAGAGGGUAAUCGGCCACACUGGGACUGAGACACGGCCCAGACUCCUACGGGAGGCAGCAGUAGGGAAUCUUCCACAAUGGACGAAAGUCUGAUGGAGCAACGCCGCGUGAGUGAAGAAGGUUUUCGGAUCGUAAAACUCUGUUGUUGGAGAAGAAUGUAUCUGGUAGUAACUGAUCAGGUAGUGACGGUAUCCAACCAGAAAGCCACGGCUAACUACGUG